Gordionus sp. m RMFG-2023 is the source of this 1610-nucleotide RNA transcript. It is a transcript of the gene named PCI domain-containing protein 2-like, with no coding region annotated. The transcript has 13 exons. The record is from RefSeq and is a predicted model, not a curated record. Lineage: Eukaryota; Metazoa; Nematomorpha; Gordioida; Chordodea; Parachordodidae.
UUUAUAUAAAAGUAUUAUUUUGAAUUUUGUAUCAUUUGCUUUUGUUAAUCAUUAUCCUUAUUUCAAAUGACUGCUAAUGAAUAUUUACAAAAAAUCGUAUUAGCAAUUCAAGGAUCUGAUGGUGAAUUAUUAUCGAUGCUGUUAUCCUUAACACAUCAAGAAAACUUCAUAUAUAUAGAUGAUCAAACGAUAUAUGAAUGUGAAUAUUUAGGGGAACCAUACAAAGAAAUUAUUCCAUUGUAUAUAAAGUGUGUAAAGUCUCUUAAAAAUUUAGAUUUUUUACAGGCAUUUGAUUACCAGACAAACUUAAUACAAUUUUUUAUCAAAUAUCUUCAAAAUAAAAAUGAUGAAAAUUGGAUGCUGCCUAUUAUGUAUCAAAUCUGUUUAGAUUUGAGAAAGUUGGCCUCUAAAAUUGAAGCUGAAAGUAUUAAGAGUGGCGCUCCUAAGCAUGGGUUGUACUUGGAGAAAGCAUCUGAUACUCUAUUAGGUUGUUUUCGUGUAUGUGCCACAGACAACUUUUCUUCUGCUCAAUACUCAAAAAAAUGGGGUAUGUUAUAUCUGGUCAAUCAACUUUUUAAGAUAUACUUCAAGAUUAACAGAUUACCUCUCUGUAAGCCUCUGAUAAGAGCUGUGGAAAAUUCAAAAAGCUUGGAAAAUUAUCCAUUAUCUCAAAUUGUUACAUACAAGUUCUAUGUUGGACGCAAAGCUUUUUAUGAUUUGGAUUAUGAAAAAGCUAACGUUUUUCUUUCCUUCUCCUUCCAGCAUUGCAACAAAUAUAUCACCAAAAACAUUAGACUCAUCCUCAUAUAUUUAAUCCCUGUCAAAAUAUUACUAGGUUAUAAUCCGAGUCAUGGAGUUUUAUCGAAAUAUGACUUACUUCCUUUCGAACCUAUCAUUCAAUCAAUCAAAGAUGGAAAUUUAGGGAUGCUUGAACGUUCUAAAGAGGCUAACAAGAAAUUUUUCAUCCAAUCCGGAAUUUAUCUUUUUAUGGACAAGCUUAAAAUUGUGUGCAUCAGAAAUCUGUUUAAAAAAGUACUGGUCCGUGCUUUUGGAAUUUCUCAAGCCGGUGUUUAAAACAUGCAAAAUCUUCUGGGUCCUCGGAUUAUCGUUUACUUUAGGAUAUUAACUGCUUGAACAUGAAAUUUUCGGAAUAGAUAAAAUAUUUAACUGCUUAUUAUAUACUUUUUUUAAAAAUAAUACGUCAAUAAAUACUACUGGCGAAAAUGUUUUAAAUUUGAAAUAGCAUGAAUUUUGACUUAAGUUUUUUAAAGCAUAAGAUUUUUUCAUGUUUGGCUUUCUUUUCGAAAUUUUUCUUCUUAUCUAUUAUUUUAUUUACCAAUCAAUCACAAAAAUAUUAUGGUGUAGAAAGGGAAUAAUCUUAAUAACGAAUAUUAGUUAUAAAAUUAAAUUCAAUGAUAAUUGCUUAUAUAUAUUUUUUUAAAACUAAAUUUUAAAAAAAGAUUUUUAAUAUUGGGGUCGUUUCAAAUCGACAUAACUUCCUUUUUGACCGCGCUCAAUUUCGCAGGUUAUGAAGAAGCCGAUUGUGAUUUAGAUGAAAUUGAAUGCCUUUUAGCGAACCUCAUAUAUGAGGGUAAGAUCAAAGGUUACAU